Molecule: ribosomal RNA, 495 nt
Filed under: uncultured bacterium
Lineage: Bacteria
Description: partial 16S ribosomal RNA
Rfam family: Bacterial small subunit ribosomal RNA
Source: RNAcentral
GAUGAACGCUGGCGGCGUGCCUAAUACAUGCAAGUCGAGCGAACGGACGAGAAGCUUGCUUCUCUGAUGUUAGCGGCGGACGGGUGAGUAACACGUGGAUAACCUACCUAUAAGACUGGGAUAACUUCGGGAAACCGGAGCUAAUACCGGAUAAUAUUUUGAACCGCAUGGUUCAAAAGUGAAAGACGGUCUUGCUGUCACUUAUAGAUGGAUCCGCGCUGCAUUAGCUAGUUGGUAAGGUAACGGCUUACCAAGGCAACGAUGCAUAGCCGACCUGAGAGGGUGAUCGGCCACACUGGAACUGAGACACGGUCCAGACUCCUACGGGAGGCAGCAGUAGGGAAUCUUCCGCAAUGGGCGAAAGCCUGACGGAGCAACGCCGCGUGAGUGAUGAAGGUCUUCGGAUCGGAAAACUCUGUUAUUAGGGAAGAACAUAUGUGUAAGUAACUGUGCACAUCUUGACGGUACCUAAUCAGAAAGCCACGGCUAACUACG